This 346-nucleotide long non-coding RNA is filed under the name Homo sapiens (human). RNAcentral's name for it is "HSALNT0322537". Lineage: Eukaryota; Metazoa; Chordata; Mammalia; Primates; Hominidae. The record is from RNAcentral.
AUUUUGGUAAGGUGGAAGCAGAAGUGUGUGUGAAGGAAGAAUGUAGGAUGAGUUGAGAGGGGUAGGAGACAGAUCAUCUAAAAGAGCCUCAGGAUCAAAAGAAGCUUUAGAGUCUUUCCUGUUGCUAUCGACCCAUUGAGAUCGGCUCUGCAGCCAGAGGCCUCGCUGUGAUCCGCCGAACGCCAGGGAUUAGUGAAGAUUCCACAAGAGAUUUGAACAGUACCCAGCUUCUUGGGCUCUUGGUCAUCAUGAAGCCAUCCUGCUUGCAGAAGCCUGUGGGAGGCCAACGUGGUCUUAGCAUUUCUGUGUCUGUCCAGGUGCGUGCCAAGCCCACAGUAAGCCCUCU